GUCACAUCUCCCCCAUGCCAGGCUGGUUUCGGGCCCUGACCUUUCUUGGAAGCCUCUUGUCCUCCGCAUCCUCCAGUGGUGCAUCUGGGGACACAACGCAGGGACUACAAUUGCUGGAUCAUACGGCAAGUCUCUAUUUACCUUAUUGAGGAACUACUAGAACGUUCUCCACAGCAGCUAUUCCAUUGGACAUCCCCACUGGCGAGCAUAAUACUUUUACGACAGUGUCUUCUCAAAAUAUUCUGGAUGAAGUUACCGAAAUUCCCUGCUUCAGGCCUCAUCCAAAUACACCUCUUGUUGAUCAGAACAAAUUGACAACUUUCCCCCAAGAAACCGCUCUGCUAAUUUUCCCCUGCUCUUCCUGGCCUUGGGCUUUGGGAUGGAGAAGCAAGCAAGAGCGGGCGAAGACAGAGCUUGGGCCUCACGAGGCCACAUUGGCAGGAAAUUAAAUGGUGCUGUCACCUUCUUCUUAUUGCGGGUCACGUGUCCGUUGUUGCCAGAAGGCGGCAUUUUGCCUUUAGCUGGGUCUGCACUGCAUCCUGGCAGAGUGACACCCAAAACUGCAACUACUAGCUGCUCAUUAAAGAACACUCCGCAAAGAGUCUGGGUUGUACUUGUAACUGCGUCGCUAAAUUAUCUUGGGCGCACUGCUGUCACACUAUGGAAUUCUGCCACACUAUCUGUAGAAUGAGGCUUCCAGACUGGACUCCCUUCCAGCUCGAACGCGGUCUCACGGGUUGUAGGCCGCCCUAUCCAAAUCUUGCCUUCGUUUCCCCGAAGCCAGCAUCUGUCAGAACUUUUCAACGGCUCUGAGUUCAGACCUCUUCACAUUUUCUGGAGGCUUCUUGCUUUGUAAACAGUCUUUUCAAGAUCCCAGGAAUAA
This is a long non-coding RNA of Ailuropoda melanoleuca (giant panda), 883 nucleotides long. RefSeq lists it as uncharacterized. NCBI's taxonomy places the organism in Eukaryota, Metazoa, Chordata, Mammalia, Carnivora, Ursidae. The record is from RefSeq and is a predicted model, not a curated record. The transcript has 3 exons.